ACGGAAGGCAGCAGUGGGGAAUAUUGCACAAUGGGCGCAAGCCUGAUGCAGCGAUGCCGCGUGAGGGAAGAAGGUUUUCGGAUUGUAAACCUCUGUCAACAGGGACGAAAAUGACGGUACCUGUGAAGGAAGCUCCGGCUAACUACGUGCCAGCAGCCGCGGUAAUACGUAGGGAGCAAGCGUUAUCCGGGAUUACUGGGUGUAAAGGGAGUGUAGGCGGGACUGUAAGUCAGAUGUGAAAUAUGCCGGCUCAACUGGCAGACUGCAUUUGAAACUGUAUAGCUUGAGUGCAGGAGAGGAAAGCGGAAUUCCUAGUGUAGCGGUGAAAUGCGUAGAUAUUAGGAGGAACACCAGUGGCGAAGGCGGCUUUCUGGACUGUAACUGACGUUGAGGCGCGAAAGCGUGGGGAGCAAACAGGAUUAGAUACCCUGGUA
This 434-nucleotide ribosomal RNA is filed under the name uncultured Ruminococcus sp. RNAcentral's name for it is "bacterial SSU rRNA". It matches the Rfam family "Bacterial small subunit ribosomal RNA", at positions 341 to 792 of the family's 1533-position model. Lineage: Bacteria; Bacillati; Bacillota; Clostridia; Eubacteriales; Oscillospiraceae. The record is from RNAcentral.